RNAcentral lists this ribosomal RNA (484 nucleotides) under uncultured bacterium. RNAcentral describes it as "partial 16S ribosomal RNA". It matches the Rfam family "Bacterial small subunit ribosomal RNA", at positions 29 to 523 of the family's 1533-position model. The record is from RNAcentral.
AGUGAACGCUGGCGGCGUGCUUAACACAUGCAAGUCGAACGAGAACGGGAUAUAGCUUGCUAUAUUUGUCAGCUAAGUGGCGCACGGGUGAGUAAUGUAUAGGUAAUAUGCCUCUUACUAAGGGAUAACAAUUGGAAACGAUUGCUAAUACCUUAUAUGCCUUUAAGACUAAAGUCUGCAAGGGAAAGAUUUAUUGGUAAGAGAUUAGCCUGUAUUGUAUCAGCUAGUUGGUGAGGUAAUGGCUCACCAAGGCUAUGACGCAUAACUGGUUUGAGAGGAUGAUCAGGCACACUGGAACUGAGACACGGUCCAGGCUCCUACGGGAGGCAGCAGUGGGGAAUAUUGCACAAUGGACGAAAGUCUGAUGCAGCAACGCCGCGUGGAGGAUGACACAUUUCGGUGCGUAAACUCCUUUUAUAUAGGAAGAUAAUGACGGUACUAUAUGAAUAAGCACCGGCUAACUCCGUGCCAGCAGCCGCGGUAA